RNAcentral lists this ribosomal RNA (114 nucleotides) under Acanthosepion pharaonis. Lineage: Eukaryota; Metazoa; Mollusca; Cephalopoda; Sepiida; Sepiidae. The record is from RNAcentral.
UUACGGUCAAAUCACGCUGAAACACCGGUUCUCGUUCGAUCACCGAAGUUAAGCAGCGUAGAGCCAGGUCAGUACUUAGAUGGGGGACCGCUUGGGAACACCUGGUACUGUAAG